This 306-nucleotide ribosomal RNA is filed under the name uncultured bacterium. Its description in RNAcentral is "bacterial SSU rRNA". It matches the Rfam family "Bacterial small subunit ribosomal RNA", at positions 505 to 796 of the family's 1533-position model. The record is from RNAcentral.
GUGCCAGCCGCCGCGGUAAUACGUAGGUGGCAAGCGUUGUCCGGAUUUACUGGGCGUAAAGCGUAUGUAGGCGGAUUUUUAAGUAGGAAGUGAAAGGUUGGUGCUCAACACUAACACUGCUCCCUAUACUGGAAGUCUUGAAGGCCGGAGAGGAAAGCGGAACGAGUCGUGUAGCGGUGAAAUGCGUUGAUAUGACUCGGAACACCAAUGGCGAAGGCAGCUUUCUGGACGGUAGGUUUACCUUUAAAUUUGACGCUGAGAUACGAAAGCGUGGGGAGCGAACAGGAUUAGAUACCCUAGUAGUCC